RNAcentral lists this ribosomal RNA (876 nucleotides) under Microbacterium testaceum. Its description in RNAcentral is "bacterial SSU rRNA". It matches the Rfam family "Bacterial small subunit ribosomal RNA", at positions 615 to 1487 of the family's 1533-position model. The record is from RNAcentral. Lineage: Bacteria; Bacillati; Actinomycetota; Actinomycetes; Micrococcales; Microbacteriaceae.
UCGGGCCUGCAGUGGGUACGGGCAGACUAGAGUGCGGUAGGGGAGAUUGGAAUUCCUGGUGUAGCGGUGGAAUGCGCAGAUAUCAGGAGGAACACCGAUGGCGAAGGCAGAUCUCUGGGCCGUAACUGACGCUGAGGAGCGAAAGGGUGGGGAGCAAACAGGCUUAGAUACCCUGGUAGUCCACCCCGUAAACGUUGGGAACUAGUUGUGGGGACCAUUCCACGGUUUCCGUGACGCAGCUAACGCAUUAAGUUCCCCGCCUGGGGAGUACGGCCGCAAGGCUAAAACUCAAAGGAAUUGACGGGGACCCGCACAAGCGGCGGAGCAUGCGGAUUAAUUCGAUGCAACGCGAAGAACCUUACCAAGGCUUGACAUACACCAGAACGGGCCAGAAAUGGUCAACUCUUUGGACACUGGUGAACAGGUGGUGCAUGGUUGUCGUCAGCUCGUGUCGUGAGAUGUUGGGUUAAGUCCCGCAACGAGCGCAACCCUCGUUCUAUGUUGCCAGCACGUAAUGGUGGGAACUCAUGGGAUACUGCCGGGGUCAACUCGGAGGAAGGUGGGGAUGACGUCAAAUCAUCAUGCCCCUUAUGUCUUGGGCUUCACGCAUGCUACAAUGGCCGGUACAAAGGGCUGCAAUACCGUGAGGUGGAGCGAAUCCCAAAAAGCCGGUCCCAGUUCGGAUUGAGGUCUGCAACUCGACCUCAUGAAGUCGGAGUCGCUAGUAAUCGCAGAUCAGCAACGCUGCGGUGAAUACGUUCCCGGGUCUUGUACACACCGCCCGUCAAGUCAUGAAAGUCGGUAACACCUGAAGCCGGUGGCCCAACCCUUGUGGAGGGAGCCGUCGAAGGUGGGAUCGGUAAUUAGGACUAAGUC